Molecule: unclassified non-coding RNA, 11311 nt
Filed under: Rhipicephalus microplus (southern cattle tick)
Lineage: Eukaryota; Metazoa; Arthropoda; Arachnida; Ixodida; Ixodidae
Description: rING finger protein unkempt homolog, transcript variant X3
Source: RNAcentral
AGAGGCAUCCAAAAUGCCGUCGACUGCUGAUCAGAAGGCUGCGCUGCCUACACAAACGGAGAAGCCAAACCAUUACAACUACUUGAAGGAGUUCCGUGUCGAGCAGUGCCCGCUGUUCGUACAGCACAAGUGCACACAGCACAAGCCGUUCACAUGCUUUCACUGGCACUUCAAGAACCAACGGCGCAGAAGACCGAUACGGCUCGCGCGGGACGGCACCUUCAACUACAGCCCCGAUGUGUACUGCACAAACUACGACGAGACGACGGGGAUAUGCCCCGACGGCGACGGGUGCCGGUUUCUGCACCGCACGGCGGGGGACACGGAGCGUCGCUACCACUUACGCUACUACAAGACGGGCAUCUGCGUGUACGACACGGACGCACGGGGCAACUGCGUCAAGAACGGCCCACACUGCGCCUUUGCACAUGGCCUGCACGACCUGCGCUCGCCGGUCUACGACGCCAAGGAGCAGCAGGCGUGCUUGGCCGGCGAUGGUAGCUCGGCCAAUGGCCCCGAUGAUGCCACCAAUGGCGGACCCAACAGCUUGGACAAGGAGCGGAACGCGCUCAAUGAGGACCCUCAUUGGCAGGAUACGAAAUAUGUUUUGACUAACUACAAGACAGAGCCAUGCAAGCGGCCACCUCGACUCUGCCGUCAAGGUUACGCGUGCCCCCAGUACCACAACAGCCGAGAUAAACGAAGAAGCCCAAAGAAAUACAAAUACAGGUCUACGCCGUGCCCCAACGUCAAGCAGGGGGACGAGUGGGGGGACCCGGCCAACUGUGAGAACGGCGACAGCUGCUCCUACUGCCACACGCGCACCGAGCAGCAGUUCCACCCAGAGAUCUACAAGUCCACCAAGUGCAACGACAUGCAGCAGGCCAACUACUGCCCCCGGGGGCCGUUCUGCGCGUUCGCGCACGUCGAGAAGGAGAUUUCGGCCGUGCGGGACCUCGGGCCAGACUACUCCACCAACCUGGCGGCCAUCCUGUCCAGCGCCCUGCCCUCCUCUUCGUCCUCGGCGAAUCACCAGGGAAGCUCCGGUUCCCCAGCCUGCAACAAUGACAACCCCUUCUCGCACGUGGGCUCUCAUGACCACAUGGCUGAGCAGCAGCAACAACACGCGGCAUCUUUAGGGGAAAAGGCUUGGUAUGCCGCGCAAGCGAAUGAUUGUAGCAACCCAUUGCCCAACCCGAUUGGCCGGCCGCGCUCGUAUAGUUCUUCCACUAACCACUCGUCCGAGUCGUUACCGCUGCACCAGAAGGCGCCGGGCUCCGAACGAGAGGACCGCGAGGCGAGCAUUCGGAAACAGCUCAAGGCCAUUGACAACGAGCCUAUGGCGGACCCCUUGGAAAAGGCGCGACUCAAACAGGACGUCUGGCUCGUGCACGGACUCACGCCGCCCCCGAUGACGUCGACAGCCUCGUCCUCGUCCUCUUUCUACCACUCGACAAACACUGUAGAAUCCGUUGUCGGUGUAGCACUUGACGACCUUAGUCUGGAAGACAUCAACGUUGAGGCCUCUAUAGACAAGGAUUUAGAAAAUGAUUCCAACCCUGUGAGCACGUCGAUAACGCAAGGACUUACAAGUUCAGGUUUACUAGGAAGUUCAGCGCCUAUGAACAUUCCGGGGGCGAGCGGCAUGCACUGCAAUCGGAGAUUGGGGAACUUGUCUCCCCCCGUGGGAUCCCUUCCCCACAGCCUCGGCCUGCAGUCCAGUCACGACCACACGAUGGACAAGGCGGCUGCUGCGUUCUACAGCCACUCGGGUGGACCAGGCUCCUUUUCAGGACCUAAAUACUCGGGCUUCCCGGGCAUGUACGACUUCAGCCAGGGGGCGCUGUCCUCCCCAUCGUCGUCACACUUGCUCUGGGAUGACCGGAUGGCCCCCAAGGCGCCACCGGGGCUGCACCAGCCCAUGCCGGGGUCGUGGGAGGAAGGCCUGGUGCAGGCGCGAGCCGUGUACGAGGCAUGGAAGCGAGAAGUGGAAGAGGCCAAGCAUAGGGAAAAGAUGGCAGAGUGCCAGCGAGAUGAGGCCCUUGGUCAGAUGGCUCUGCUGCAGAAGGAGCUGGAGGCCCUGGCGUCUGGGCGGGCGACUGGCUUCGGGCCCCUGCGGCUGCAGGAGCUCGAGAAGCUGCCGGCCUCCCAGCUGCGCCUGCUCCAGGAACAGCUGCGCGCCGACUUGGACGCCGUCGACAAGGUUCUGUACCAGCAGCAGUGCAAAAGCAAGUGCCUGGUAUGCCAACAGCAAAACCGCAGUGUGGCGGUGCUUCCCUGCAAUCACCUGGUGCUGUGCGGCACGUGUGCCACCGUUACGACCAAGUGCCCCUACUGCAGCUGUGACAUCGCGCGCAACAGCCUGCCCAUGUCCCUGUAGAAUGCACAGGGUCUCUUCACGAGUAGUCGUUGGGGGAGGUGUGCAAUCCGUUUUGGCUCCUUCCUCUCCUUUUUAUAGAACUUUUUUUUUUUCCUUUCUCUCUUCUCUCCUUGUUCCCCAUCGGGAUGAGGGCUUUUCUGAAGAGUCGCGCCCCCUGGGCAGCCUGCAGGAGUCUGUAGCGGGACUGUCGACCGUGCCAAGCAGUUCGACAGUACAUUUCUGGAGAUGAUGGAAGAACUCGACAUUCGAUGCACACUUCUGGCUGAGGUUUUGAUACGCCCGCCCCUCGACUGCGACGAUGUAUGUGAACGGGCAUUGUUUCGCAUUGGGCGCAAACUGUAACUUCUCCCCGACCUUGUUUAUUUCUACGUCCGCUGAGCUGUCGGUGGCGGUACCGUGCCUGCAUUUGGUUAACCGACGUCGUUUAGGUUGUGCUGUAGGUGACGUGUUGACGAAUUUGCGUUACAGUUGACUGCCCACAAAGUUGUGCAAACCGUCAUGUACAGGACAUUCUUGAGGGACUACUGCCACUGCUGUGCACUUUGGCUCGCUGCCUGCGUCACGUGCUUCUAGAAUCUGAACUGCCAUCGCAGCCGAAGUCUGGUCAUUUGAAGCACAAAGCGAACUUUGUAUGGGAUGGUAACUUAAAAGGGAAAGACUGAAAAGCGUUCAGGGCCGGUGUCUGCGACUGGUGAUGACUAGCAAGGAACGCUCUUUCAAAAGUGGACGGUUACAUUCUAAAGACAUGCCGGUUAGGGCACUGCAAGGAAAAUGCUGUUCAUUUGGCACUCCGUCACUGUCAGUCAAUGCCUACCUGCAUUCGUUGUCUCAGGUAGAUGUCAUCACACUUAACAACAGAAAAAACAUUUGAACAUCCACUGGUUUUAGCCUGAUGGUAAAACUGUUAUUAUUGUUAACCAGUGUUAAAAGCACCAGAAGUUUUUCCCGCUGUUGAGUUGUUUCUGUAGAGUGCUGGUACCGUUGUGGUGAAAUGUUGUGUUACCGCUUAUUUAUUUAUUUUUUAGUUGUACGCUGCUGGCCGCAUUAGGUAAGAAAUUGUGUUAUCAUUAUACAAUGUUAAAAUCAAGCAGCCAUUGGUGAAAUAUUGUGUUACCGCUUAUUUAUUUAUUUUUUAGUUGUACGCUGCUUGCCGCAUUAGGUAAGAAAUUGUGUUAUCGUUAUACAAUGUUAAAAUCAAGCAGCCGUUUACUUAUUGGAAGUAUAGCGUUAUGUCCAUUGUUUUCCUUACAUGCUAAAUCAUGGCAGCAAACUAAAGAUAGUAGUCUGUUGUGCUGCUGGGUACGCUACUCUCAAUUUUCAGUGAAAUGACGGCCUUGACGUUUUCACUCCAGAUCCUAGUGUUAUAUGCAUAUUGUGCAGUUCAAGAGUGGGUUCCUUACAAGUCUCAAGGCAUGUCCCUGUCUCAAUGUGUCUCUAUAGAUUUGGGUUGGAAACAGUAUUGAUACUGUUUGUGCAUUUCGAGUGUUUUUAUGGUGUGGCAACAGUCGAAAAAAUCUGAAUGCCAACUUGUUUGAAAACUUUCCAGGCCAAGUCCACGAGAAGUAGCUGUCCCAGACAUUCAGAUUGAGGAAUAAUGUUCGGCGUACAAAACGUCUGAUGGACCCCGUUCUCCAGGAAGUGCGUGUUACAGGGUUGAAGUGACGUUGGUGCAUUUUAAAUUUUUUGUUAUUAUUUAAGAUUUUCUGCACAAAUGUGUUCAUACUAACUGUGCAAGACUAUGGUACGUCAAGGUAAAAAUCGCUAUAUUAUGUACUGACUGAAACUGUGCCGCUGCUGUGCAGGCAAGGUGUGUGGUAGGAUGAGCAGAGCUCUCAAAUAGCGAAACAGUCUCAGCAGGUCCUCUUCCAAAUUUUUCUUUCUCCUCAUUUCUUGGUAGCGUCUUGCUUCAGUAAUUUGCGUGCUUGACAGUUUACAGUUGUCUAAUAACUCGGGAGUGUAGCAACUUUUUCCGUUCUCCCCGUCCUCUUAGAUUGUAAUGAAAGUGUCAGCGUCUGUCUCGUGCAUGUCAAGGUGUGAUGGAUGUUGAGAUGUGAACGGUAGCGAGGCCGUUGGCCUAGUCGCUGUGGCGAGACCAUUGUGUGAAAGACGGUGGAACUGUGGAUUGCAUUGCUGCGUACGUGCCGCAGCAUGACGAAGUGAACCUUUUGAGUGUUGUGUACGUUAGACGGCAGAUCGACGAGGUGUUCGUUGCAGCGUCGAGAAAUGUCGCCUCUGUAUGUUCGCUGGCAUGAAUAGGGACCCACUGGAUAUCGCAGCGCGGGCGUUAUUUUUUCGUUUGAUAGCUGUGAAUUUUUUCAGCGGGGCUGCAGUAUUUGAAUGGGUGGCGUGUCUUUUCCGCAAGGCAUUUCCUGUUAUUAUAAUUUUUUUUGUACCACUACUUCUGCUCUUGUGAAGGGAUUUCAGUGAGACAAGCAAGGCGAACGGAAACGCUUUGUAGGCACUGCGACUGAAGAGUCUUUUGGUGUGUCGCAAUAUGCGAGAUGCAAAGAGACUGUUAGGAGGUUUUCAAAUGGCUGUCAUCUAGGCCUACAUACGACCUGGUGGGACAGCAGGGGUGUUUGUGUUGUGUGUGUUGAGGUGUGCACUUGUGCAUGGGGCAGAAUGCUUAGUGCAUUUGGUCCAGGUGGUGGUUGUUUUGAGAGGUUGAGGCAGGUACGGGAUGAAACAUACUACGGCUACCAGCUACUUGUACUACUUUUUGGUCAUGGCAUCCUCGGGACGCUGUAGAACUUCGUGUAGACACCGGUUUUUGUUUCCUUCUUCAGUAAUGACGGGACAGCUCGGCCUCUUCCUGCCUAAAUACCAAGACGUGUGCGACGCCGUCUCCCAUCCUUACUCUGUCCUGCUCUCACCCUUUGCUUGGCAGGUGUGUCAUGUACCUCGCCUCGCGCUAUGAGUAGUUCAUUGUAUGCUGCAGUGCGACGUCCCUCCCAUCGGCAACCAGCAUUAGCGAAGGUUUCGUGCCGUCUUUUUGACGUAUUGUCUAUAGCUCUUGUUCUCGCUUCAUAGGAUUAGCGUUGCCUGGUUCCUGAAAACCUCUCGCCCUCUGGCUUUCAUUGAAGCCUGUUCAUCUGUGACGUCAUGCUGACGGGUUGCAUCGUGGCGGCACUUUUGCUCGGUUCUUUCCCCAGAGCGAGGCGGAAGUGAGGCUGUGGGGUGAGGCGCAUUAGCCGGUUCCUUCAAUCUUUCUUCCCUUAUGUUUUUUUAGUCUUGUACACGUUUGCCACCUCCUUCCCUUACGUUUUUUUUUUAGUGGAGGUUGAAUAGCGAAAAAAUUCUUCCCGUUGUUGUGCUUGAGUGGGUAGAGGGUUUUUCUUCUUUGCAGCCGGGGGACUUAGCGCUGUAACCAGAUAUUCAUAGUUUAUAUAGUAGUAUGACGUAUUUAUGUAUAUCUAUUGUAUGUACUAUCCACAGAAAGGAGAGCGGGCUGCCUUGGUGGGUGGGUUAAUAGGUCGUUGUAGUUUUCUGUCGUGUUUUUUCUUCUUUCAAGGCCCUCUCUCUCUCUCUCUAUAUAUAUAUAUAUAUAAUAUCUCUGGUCUCCCGUAAACUGCGUCGGAGGCUUGCUGUUGUGGUCACUCUGUGGCUGCAGGAACAACUUUGUAAUGCCUGGCGGGAAAAAAAAAUAAAUUUAUAGGAAUUUUCACAAGAGCUGAGAAAAAGGAAAAAAAAAAAAACAGGUAAGCUUAGGUGUAAAUUUUAAACUAACAAAUUGAAUGCACAAAUAGGUCAUUUUCUCUAUAUAUUUUUUUUCCUUUCAUAAUCAACAGUGUGCGUCUUAUUCAUGAAAGAGUCCAAAAGGCUAUUUUCACAUGCUACAUGCUUGCACGUGUGUGUGCAUACUCCGUUUAUUGCCGAUGGUCUCUUCCCUCUUUAUUGGGGAGAAUGGAGAACAUUCGGUCGCGGAGGUCGACUGCUCGCGGUGGCGCGGAGUCGCACUUUCUAAACUUUUUUUUUUUUGUCGUAGUCAUAUAGAGUUCGUCUUUGUCUUUUGUUCUCCAAGCUAUUUUUCUAUUCCAGUUUUGCCCCUUGUGACUCCUGAAGAACUUUCGAAGGCUUCGACUUCGUACUACCAAACGCACAACUAACUACAAGAGGUUUCGCACUGCGUGUUCUCUUGCAUGGCUUUCUCGAAUUCUCUCUUGUCUGAAUUUGUCCGGUUUUGUUCAGCAUUGCCUGCCCUCUAUGGAUGUGGUAAUGGCUCCGAGGCAAAAGUGAUUGACGCUUCACUUUGUUCUUCUGCUGUACAAGGAGUGACUGGCUGGCUCCCAAUUUCGGGGGGACGGCAAGGAAAGCAAGAAAGAUCAAAGUUGAGGGUGUCGUGUGCAUCGACUAUACGAGGUGGUUCGAGAGAUUUGCAUACCGAAAGGAGCUGCCCCCGGAGUGUGUAGGUGGUGCCUUCGGUCUGAACGGAAGCAAAGGGGGGACAAGUUCAUUCUUCCUGUUUUGCUCUUUCUUCAUUGUCAUUAUUAUUGUUAUUGCUGUAAAUAGGAGAGCAAGCGUGACGUUUCCUCUUGUGACAAUGACGCAACACUGCUACAUCCUUUCGUACAACAAACGCACUAAAUUAACCUGUUGUUGCUAACAUCAAGGCUUGAACGAAUGCGCGACAACACGCGAUGUUUGCGCGCAUGUUCUCUGAAAAAAGCAACAACACUCGCACUGGCAUUACGCACAAGCUAGGUCAUUAUUGUAAUCUUGUAGGAACAAACGUAUAAAAGGGGAAAAAAGUUUUUUUUUCAAUUUUUUAAGAAAGGGGGCAGGCCUGUUGUGCAUCGUAAAAUGGGUGGGCGCGUUGCUUACAGCCAGUGCAGAUCUAGCAUUGGCUGUGUUAGUCUGGUGUUCGUUGGGGAGAAAAAAGAGGUGGGGAUGAUGUCCCUUCUCAACUAGGUGUCGGUGUUGACCGGUAUUUUUCGCAGCAUGGCCCUGCCGGUCGUGCCGUCAACAUAGUCUCGUGCAGAUUCUGACGUAUUCUUGCGUUGCCGCAUGUGAUUGCUGAAAGUGUAAAUAGAAACAUGGUGCGUUCUUCGCCAACUGUUGCAGAGUUCAGUACGUCUUGGUCUCCUCAUCGUUAACGAUACCAAAUGUUGUGUGAAUGAUGACGCUGGGUAAACGUUAACCUUUCCAGCCAAGUCUCGGGCUUACUUUAAAUUUGGCGUAGAUAUUGCAGAUUGCCACAUCUGUCUUCUCCGACGCCAUGUUUAUUGUUCGUUGCUAGCCCUUUUCUUGCCGCAAGGGUUUAUAGAAAUGGAAUGGUAGCGUUGUCCUGCACUCAUAUUAGUAGAACGAGUUGGAAUCACUGCUGCAUUGUGGGAAAAUCGGCACUUUUUGUCCAAGCCAUAAUCGCAGAAGAGGCAUGCUUCUGAUCCACUUUUGAUAAAACUGGCUUAUUAUGCAUAGAAGCAUGGUAUCUGAUAUGCAAGUACCAUGAAUUUGUGUGUAAGCUAACAGCAGUGAAUAUUGUGUAAGUGAACUUCCAUGCAAAGUUUUGGCGUAAACAGUGCCCCUAGUAAAAUUUUUCUUUAAGCGAGCCAGUUGUCUAAAUUCCCAAGUAAAAAUCUGUAAGCGCGCUUGUGUGCCAGCUAAGAUCUGUGUGAAAUUUGUGUAUAAACCGAAAUUAUUGUGUAAGCAAAACUACAAGCAAACUUUGGUUGCAAGUGAAUCUCCCAUGUGAAAUUUAUGUGCAAUUGGGAGCUGCUGCAGAAAUAGUAUGCAUACGGUCAUUCACGAAAAAUUUGUGUGAAAGCAAACCUCUAUGCAGAACAUGCAUGUAGGCGAAGCUGUCGGGAAAAUUUACGUGGAAACGAUCCUCCGUGUGAAAUUGACAUAAGCAAACCUUCGUGUGAAAUUUAUGUUUUCUGAUAACGCGGGGGGCUCCCCCUGCUCUGCAGGUAGAAUCUCUCAGUGGAAACUCGAGGUUGUUCGUUUCACGCCAGUCAUCGUCUCGACUUUGAGCCAUGUGCCGUCAGAGUUGUUUUUCGGCUGUGCACAAGCAUGUUGAGUAGUUCAACAUUGUAGAACCAACCGCAUCUUCUCCGCGACACCGCUGCCGAGACAGUAUUGAUAGCAUCGCUGGCAGGCCUGUGUCGUGCCAAGCUGAGGUAGACGACAGGCCAUUUUUUUCUUGUGCCGCUGUGUGGGCGGUUUUUUCGCACGCGCCAGUCUGGUUGUGCAACACCGGUUAUCUGCAAAUGCCGCAUUUGUAGUCGUUUUUCUAGGCUUUUUCAUAUUUUUGUCCCCUGUCCCAUUUUUUUUUUCUUUAGACCAUCAUUUUUUUUACAUCACGCUUGAUCACGUUUAGGUGGCGGUUGCUGCGUGUAUGUGUUUUGUUGUGCAUUAUUGCGCCUCUGUUUGUGUAUCAGUGUUUUUCUUUUAUCUCCUUAUCGGAGUUACCUGUGCAAGCUUUCUAAAUGCAUCGAGAGAGGAAACUUGAGAUGGCUCGUUUCACGCCAGUCAUCGUCCGGACUUUGAAAUGUGUAAGCGGAACCAUGUGCCGUCAAGAGUCUUAUUUUGUUUUCUGACUCGUAGUUCUUAACUCGGAAUGUGUCCUUUAUGAUGACUGCUUGGCACAAUAUGACAAAAUGCUUUCUUAAAAUGUGUGUUUACUAAAGAAAAGGAUGAAAAUAAGAACUGAUCUUAACCUAAAAACGCUGCUUAUGUCACAUAACAGCUUUGUUUGUGCCGAGCCCAAUUCAAGCUCAUUUUAGCACGAAUCGUUCUACAGGCUGCAAAGCGAACGUUUUCAGGUUUCCUCUUUACUGGUACUACACUUUAUUUCAUUAGUAGUUGACUAGGGUUUUUAAUAUAAAAAUAUGCUGCCAUAUUCAAGCAAAUUAGAAUCGCUCUAAAAUGGGCAAUCAUUGGCAACUUGUAAAUCCUUUGUGUGUGUGCGUAUGUAUAGUGCACGUGUGGUUAAACAAAUAUAUUUUAAUUUAGUUUUUUUCUUUUUGCUCGCAUGGGCGUCCAUCAACUCGCUCAGGAGUUCGCGUCCUGCAGUGAAUGCAGUUCUCCGGGCAUAAGAGAAUAUCAAAGGCCGAGUUGGCAUCGUGAUAAAAUUCGUAUAGGGUGCUACGUGUAAGAUAAUGCCUUUUUAUUUUUUUUCUAGAUCGCUCGCGUUGAGAUCAAUUGGCGCAUAAGUUUUCGGAGCUCGAGAUUGUGGCACUGUUUCUUUUUUAAAAUCUUGUUAAGAUUAUCUGCCAAAGCUAUAAAUAGUUUUAUUGCACCCUAGUGGGUUUUAUUUGGCUGUGGCAGUCGCGAAUGAACCGAGACGUACUUUCAUUUUUCUGUACGUUUUGUUUACUUGUACCUGGACUAUAGAAAGCUUAUAAUGCUUGUUUCGUUGCUUUAAUGAUUAGUAUUUAUAACCUGUUUACGACUAGCUGUUAGCUUUGUUUGUUGCAUGUGGCAAAUCCAUUUGUAAGGGGGCAAUCGUCUACAGACCAUUGAAUGUAGUCUGUCUAAUGGCAGUCUUAAGUACCCCAUUUGGUGGGGCACAUGAAAAGAAAACAAGAAAAAAAGUAACUGGGAGAUGCACAGAUUGUAUGCGUGUGCGUCUGAAAUGUGUACGGAGCUGCGGCCUUGCACGGCAACGUGUCGUUUGUGCAGAUGAAGCUUCACAUGUCGGUGUUCUCUUGUGAAACAUUUUUGGAGGAGCUUUAUUGCAGAGUCUUCAGCCAUAGGUUUUAAGGAAUAAUAAUAAUAAUAAAUACAAAAAACAGCCGUCGAGCAAUUCAACUGUCGCGAGACCUUUUCGUGUGGCUGGGAAAAGGAAGUCGCUGGUUGUGUGGUCUUGUUUUCCAAGCCGGUCAACACACUGUGAUGAUGAUUUGAUUUGAUACGGCCAAUGCGACGUUCCCUGUAAUACAUAAGCUAACCAGUACCGCAACCUCCAGUGUUUUAUGGACGUUUUUACAUGUGUACAUAAGAGUAGGCGUAUUACCCUUGUGCUUAGGCUGUCUUGUGUGGCAAGUCAAAUUUUUCUGGUGCGGGCGCGGAAAGAUGCGUUGCCUCGUCAUAGGUAGAUAUUUUUGCUGGGGCAGUACUAUUUUUCUCAUGAAAUUGGGAUUUCAUAGUGUUUAGAGGGUCUAUGCAAAGGGCUACGACAUGUUUCGGUGGGGGCAGGUCGGUGAGAUGUUGCAAUUGGCUGCAGCUGCUGUUGCUAUGGAGAUGGACGAUUGCACGCAAUCAUUAAUGAGUGAUGUUAGAGGGGAAAACAAAGGCUCGAGGGCUUAGAAUUGCUGGACACAGUGCUACUGCUCGUCGUUGGCAUUCUGUCCUUUAUCACAUUUUCAAGAAAAAAAAAUUUUAUGAGGUGAUGACGAAUGUUUCUACGAAUCUCCCGUACCUUGUUUUUAUGGUGUCCUGGGUUACGAUGAACCUUAGUACAAUUUUUUUUCUUUUAAACGAAGGUGUUCAACCAUGCCACGUAUCCAGUGCUUAAUUAAAGCCCACAGUAUGCUUCAGCUUUGUUGUGUUGCUGACCAAGUCGUGUUUCAAAAUGUCGAUUGUUUGUCUUUGGUGUAUUGUUGUUACUUUUUUCUUGCACAUGUGAUGCCCACUCGUUUUCGUGCUUCUCGAGGCAAACAAUGUUCUUUCUCUUUUGUGGUAACGUUUUCUUUCUGGUGUAACUUUCUCGCAUCUGUGCAACUGUUCUUGAGUCGAGUCAUUUUAUUUUGUGCAUACUCUGACAUCAAAGUUGAACGAAAAAUUAAUACAGAGAAGGAAAAAAAAAAAUGUGCACGACUCUUGUGUUCACCUAAAAAUCAUAGUCUAGAUGUUUUUAUUGUGGCUUUUAUUUCUUCUGUGUUUUGUUUUCUGUUUCAUUUCUCUUGUGAUGAGAAAUUCUUUGUGUAAUUGAAAUAUUUCUUAAAAUUUAGGCAUAAUUAUGUAAAUAAAAUCAACUAUAGGAUUUUA